This 997-nucleotide ribosomal RNA is filed under the name uncultured marine bacterium. RNAcentral's name for it is "bacterial SSU rRNA". It matches the Rfam family "Bacterial small subunit ribosomal RNA", at positions 55 to 1096 of the family's 1533-position model. The record is from RNAcentral.
AUGCAAGUCGAACGAAGUAGCAAUACUUAGUGGCAGACGGGUGAGUAACAUGUAGGUAUCUGCCCUUUGGCCUGGAAUAACACGAGGAAACUCGUGCUAAUACCGGAUAAGUCUUUACGGAGAAAGCUUUAUGCACCAUUGGAUGAGCCUGCACUUGAUUAGUUUGUUGGUGGGGUUAUGGCCUACCAAGACUGUGAUCAAUAGCUGAUUUGAGAGGAUGAUCAGCCACAUUGGGACUGAGACACGGCCCAAACUCCUACGGGAGGCAGCAGUGGGGAAUCUUGCACAAUGGAGGAAACUCUGAUGCAGCGAUGCCGCGUGAGUGAAGAAGGCCUUUGGGUUGUAAAGCUCUUUCGUCGGGGAAGAAAAUGACUGUACCCGAAUAAGAAGGUCCGGCUAACUUCGUGCCAGCAGCCGCGGUAAUACGAAGGGACCUAGCGUAGUUCGGAAUUACUGGGCUUAAAGAGUUCGUAGGUGGUUGAAAAAGUUGGUGGUGAAAUCCCAGAGCUUAACUCUGGAACUGCCAUCAAAACUUUUCAGCUAGAGUAUGAUAGAGGAAAGCAGAAUUUCUAGUGUAGAGGUGAAAUUCGUAGAUAUUAGAAAGAAUACCAAUUGCGAAGGCAGCUUUCUGGAUCAUUACUGACACUGAGGAACGAAAGCAUGGGUAGCGAAGAGGAUUAGAUACCCUCGUAGUCCAUGCCGUAAACGAUGUGUGUUAGACGUUGGAAAUUUAUUUUCAGUGUCGCAGCGAAAGCGAUAAACACACCGCCUGGGGAGUACGACCGCAAGGUUAAAACUCAAAUGAAUUGACGGGGACCCGCACAAGUAGUGGAGCAUGUGGUUUAAUUCGAAGAUACGCGCAGAACCUUACCAACACUUGACAUGUUCGUCGCGACUUUAAGAGAUUAAAGUUUUCGGUUCGGCCGGACGAAACACAGGUGCUGCAUGGCUGUCGUCAGCUCGUGUCGUGAGAUGUUGGGUUAAGUCCCGCAACGAG